GAUGAAGAACGUAGCGAAAUGCGAUAAGUAAUGCGAAUUGCAGAUUUCAGUGAAUCAUCGAAUCUUUGAACGCACAUUGCGCCCGCCAGUAUUCUGGCGGGCAUGCCUGUUCGAGCGUCAUUUCAACCCUCAGGCCCCCAGUGCCUGGUGUUGGGGAUCGGCCCAGCCUUCCUGUAAGGCCGCCGGCCCCGAAAUCUAGUGGCGGUCUCGCUGUAGUCCUCCUCUGCGUAGUAGCACAACCUCGCAGUUGGAACGCGGCGGUGGCCAUGCCGUUAAACACCCCACUUCUGAAAGUUGACCUCGGAUCAGGUAGGAAUACCCGCUGAACUUAAGCAUAUCAAUAAGCGGAGGA
This 352-nucleotide unclassified non-coding RNA is filed under the name soil metagenome. RNAcentral's name for it is "partial contains 5.8S ribosomal RNA, internal transcribed spacer 2, and large subunit ribosomal RNA". The stretch from base 1 to 120 matches the Rfam family "5.8S ribosomal RNA", at positions 35 to 154 of the family's 154-position model. The record is from RNAcentral.